Molecule: unclassified non-coding RNA, 217 nt
Filed under: Cryptococcus sp. (in: basidiomycete fungi)
Lineage: Eukaryota; Fungi; Basidiomycota; Tremellomycetes; Tremellales; Cryptococcaceae
Description: Cryptococcus sp. (in: Fungi) partial contains 5.8S ribosomal RNA, internal transcribed spacer 2, and large subunit ribosomal RNA
Rfam family: 5.8S ribosomal RNA (bases 1-50)
Source: RNAcentral
CGCAACUUGCGCCCUCUGGUAUUCCGGAGGGCAUGCCUGUUUGAGUGUCAUGCAGCUCAUUCAAUAAUGAAUUGUUAUUGAGUGGAUUUGGGGGUUUGCCACAUUGCUGGCUCUCCUUAAAAGGAUAAUGUAGACGUGAUAAGUUUCGUCGUACGCAUUUCUAAUACUGUAUUUGUACUCUGGCCUCAAAUCAGGUAGGGCUACCCGCUGAACUUAA